AAUCAACGCUGGCGGCGUGCCUCAGACAUGCAAGUCGAACGAGAACCUCCCUUCGGGGGAGGGGACAGUGGCGCACGGGUGAGUAACACGUGGGUAAUUUACCUUUGGGUGGGGAACAACAGCCGGAAACGGCUGCUAAUACCGCAUAAUGCAGCGGCUCGACAUCGAGACAGUUGUUAAAGCGGGGAUCGCAAGACCUCGCGCCUGAAGAGAAGCCUGCGGCGGAUAGCUAGUUGGUAGGGUAAUGGCCUACCAAGGCGACGAUCUGUAACCGGCCUGAGAGGGCGGUCGGUCACACUGACACUGACAUACGGGUCAGACUCCUACGGGAGGC
Molecule: ribosomal RNA, 334 nt
Filed under: uncultured bacterium
Lineage: Bacteria
Description: bacterial SSU rRNA
Rfam family: Bacterial small subunit ribosomal RNA
Source: RNAcentral